ACAGAGGGUGCGAGCGUUAAUCGGAAUUACUGGGCGUAAAGAGCGCGCAGGCGGCUGGUCAAGUCCGAUGUGAAAGCUCCCGGCUUAACUGGGAAACGGCAUCGGAAACUGAUCGGCUUGAAGGUGGGAGAGGGUAGUGGAAUUCCCGGUGUAGUGGUGAAAUGCGUAGAUAUCGGGAGGAACACCAGUGGCGAAGGCGACUACCUGGCCCAUUCUUGACGCUGAGGCGCGAAAGCUAGGGGAGCGAACGGGA
This 253-nucleotide ribosomal RNA is filed under the name uncultured prokaryote. RNAcentral describes it as "partial 16S ribosomal RNA". It matches the Rfam family "Bacterial small subunit ribosomal RNA", at positions 525 to 777 of the family's 1533-position model. The record is from RNAcentral.